RNAcentral lists this long non-coding RNA (302 nucleotides) under Salvia miltiorrhiza (redroot sage). RNAcentral describes it as "long non-coding RNA (SMIL_LNC008948)". The record is from RNAcentral. Lineage: Eukaryota; Viridiplantae; Streptophyta; Magnoliopsida; Lamiales; Lamiaceae.
UAAUACUCGAUAUAAGGGCAAAAAUAUCUUAAAGGGAUAUAUUUUAUAAAAGGGUUAAUGGUAGAUUUUACCCACUCUCAAAGAUAAAAACAAAAAAAUAACCCACAUAAAUUAAAACAUAUAAAUAGUACCUUUUUUUUCAAAAACUUGACAUUUGUACCCUUAAAAAAUAGAAAUUUCUAGCCAUGCCCCCUCUCCCCCCAUACAUGGUGACCCCUUCCAUAGAACUUCUUCUCUUCUCUCUCUCCACGCUUUCUCCCUCCGGCAACUGCAUCGCGUCUCCGCUGCAGCCUCCAAAUCUG